This 921-nucleotide ribosomal RNA is filed under the name uncultured bacterium. Its description in RNAcentral is "bacterial SSU rRNA". It matches the Rfam family "Bacterial small subunit ribosomal RNA", at positions 60 to 981 of the family's 1533-position model. The record is from RNAcentral.
AGUCGAGGGGUAACAUUGGUACUUGUACCAGAUGACGACCGGCGCACGGGUGAGUAACGCGUAUACAAUUUGCCUUAUGCUGGAGCAUAGCCUUUAGAAAUGAAGAUUAAUACUCCAUGGUAUUAAGAUAUGGCAUCAUAUUUUAAUUAAAGAUUUAUUGGUAUAAGAUGAGUAUGCGUCCUAUUAGCUAGAUGGUAAGGUAAUGGCUUACCAUGGCAACGAUAGGUAGGGGCCCUGAGAGGGGGAUCCCCCACACUGGUACUGAGACACGGACCAGACUCCUACGGGAGGCAGCAGUGAGGAAUAUUGGACAAUGGAGGAGACUUUGAUCCAGCCAUGCCGCGUGCAGGAAGACUGCCCUAUGGGUUGUAAACUGCUUUUAUAUAGGAAGAAACACUCCCUCGUGAGGGAAUUUGACGGUACUAUAUGAAUAAGCACCGGCUAACUCCGUGCCAGCAGCCGCGGUAAUACGGAGGGUGCAAGCGUUAUCCGGAAUCAUUGGGUUUAAAGGGUCCGUAGGCGGGCAAUUAAGUCAGAGGUGAAAUCCCACAGCUCAACUGUGGAACUGACUUAGAUACUGGUUGUCUUGAGUUUUAGUGAAGUAGAUAGAAUAUGUAGUGUAGCGGUGAAAUGCUUAGAUAUUACAUAGAAUACCGAUUGCGAAGGCAGUCUACUAACUAACAACUGACGCUAAUGGACGAAAGCGUGGGGAGCGAACGGGAUUAGAUACCCCGGUAGUCCACGCCGUAAACGAUGGAUACUAGUUGUUGGACUUAUGUUCAGUGACUAAGCGAAAGUGAUAAGUAUCCCACCUGGGGAGUACGUUCGCAAGAAUGAAACUCAAAGGAAUUGACGGGGGCCCGCACAAGCGGNGGAGCAUGUGGUUUAAUUCGAUGAUACGCGAGGAACCUUACCAGGGCU